This 702-nucleotide ribosomal RNA is filed under the name Triticum aestivum (bread wheat). RNAcentral's name for it is "partial small subunit ribosomal RNA". The record is from RNAcentral. Lineage: Eukaryota; Viridiplantae; Streptophyta; Magnoliopsida; Poales; Poaceae.
AUGCUGCUUGUGGACAAGCAGGUGGCAGCGGACCCAAGGCAUGAUAGCGCGUUGGAGGUGCUUGCGGUGAUGCCACCUGGCGUGGCCUUGGCGGUGGAAGCCAUGCAGCCAGCGGAUGGUCACGCGUCGGUCGGGGCCCAGCCUGAUGGGAGUCAUGCAAGCGUUGCAUGUGACCCUGUUCACGUAGCUGUGCCUCUGAGUGUGCAUGCAGAAAGAGAAAGGUUUGCCGAGGGGCCUGUGGCAGAGGGCGCCAAAGAGACGUGCCUGGAGAUGGUAGUGACCAACGACCCAGCCAAUGGACUGACACCCAAGGAGGUGGAGAUGUACGCGAAACUCAAGGCUUUCUGCUCUUGCAUUGUGAAGAAGCUAGCACCACCAAUUCUCAAGAAAGUCCAGGCUUCCAACUUGCGGCUUGAAGCAGAACCAUUCACCCCCAAAAGAACCACUCGGGCAACCAAGAAAUCGACUCAACAGAACACGCAAAGAGCCACACCUGCGGAGAAUGUGCUCCUGCGCACAUUGGGAAUUGUGCCGGAAGACCUGGAGGUGACGGACACGGCUGUGCAAGAGCUCAAGUCGCUCUUCGACUCUCCUCUACGCGAGCAGCACGUACGGGUGAUUGCAGCCCUGUUUGGCAAGGCUUUGCCUGGGCAGCUUUCUGGAGCUAGUACCGGAGCGACGGAGGGAAUCGGCGCACACUGA